This 422-nucleotide ribosomal RNA is filed under the name uncultured bacterium. Its description in RNAcentral is "bacterial SSU rRNA". It matches the Rfam family "Bacterial small subunit ribosomal RNA", at positions 359 to 773 of the family's 1533-position model. The record is from RNAcentral.
GAAUCUUGCGCAAUGCGCGAAAGCGUGACGCAGCAACGCCGCGUGAGGGAAGACGGCCUUCGGGUUGUAAACCUCUUUCAGUUGGGACGAAGGGCCGUCGGUGAAUAGCCGGCUGGUCUGACGGUACCUUUAAAAGAAGCCCCGGCUAACUACGUGCCAGCCGCCGCGGUAAUACGUAGGGGGCAAGCGUUGUCCGGAAUCAUUGGGCGUAAAGCGCGUGUAGGCGGCUUGGUAAGUCCGCUCUGAAAGCCCGGGGCUCAACCCCGGGAGGCGGAUGGAUACUGUCAAGCUCGAGUCCGGAAGAGGCGAGUGGAAUUCCAGGUGUAGCGGUGAAAUGCGCAGAUAUCUGGAGGAACACCAAUGGCGAAGGCAGCUCGCUGGGACGGUACUGACGCUGAGACGCGAAAGCGUGGGGAGCAAAC